UGUCUCCUCCAUGUCUCCUCCUGAUAUGGAUUAAGCCCGUUCCGCUCUGCGUGAACGGGCUUUUUUUCG
RNAcentral lists this non-coding RNA (69 nucleotides) under Burkholderia cenocepacia. Its description in RNAcentral is "small toxic RNA 3". It matches the Rfam family "Betaproteobacteria toxic small RNA". Rfam says of the family: Overexpression in amino aid rich medium attenuates growth, suggesting role in repressing amino acid intake and metabolism. Lineage: Bacteria; Pseudomonadati; Pseudomonadota; Betaproteobacteria; Burkholderiales; Burkholderiaceae. The record is from RNAcentral.